GCUGCCGUGGCCGAGUGGUUAAGGCGAUGGAUUUCUGAUCCAUUGGGGCUCUGCCCUUCGCAGGUUCGAAUCCUGUCGGCAGCG
This is a non-coding RNA of Aplysia californica (California sea hare), 84 nucleotides long. The record is from the annotation of a RefSeq genome assembly. NCBI's taxonomy places the organism in Eukaryota, Metazoa, Mollusca, Gastropoda, Aplysiida, Aplysiidae.